Ornithodoros turicata is the source of this 106-nucleotide small nuclear RNA. The record is from RefSeq and is a predicted model, not a curated record. Lineage: Eukaryota; Metazoa; Arthropoda; Arachnida; Ixodida; Argasidae.
GUUUUGCUUCCAAAGUACAUAUACCAAAAUUGGAACGAUAGAAAGAAGAUUAGCAUGGCCCCUGUGCAAGGAUACGACGCAAAAUUGUGAAGCGUUCUACGUUUUA